RNAcentral lists this long non-coding RNA (467 nucleotides) under Androctonus crassicauda. The record is from RNAcentral. Lineage: Eukaryota; Metazoa; Arthropoda; Arachnida; Scorpiones; Buthidae.
GAUGGGUUAGAUGGAUGGCUAUCUGGUAAAGCUGUGGCUUAUCACCCUGGAGGAUCUGGGUUGGCCUGCACUUCCAAUUUUUCAGGAGUGGACUGGGUCUGGCCCAUUGAACCCAUCCUUCAACCUUCUGGUUGAUCCCAUCAUGGGUGUUGGCCAGCCUGUGAUGGGCUUAAUAAAUGGUCGCUGUCAGAUAAAGUUUAUCCCUUGUGCAAUGUGAUGGUUUACCUAUAAUAACUUAAUUUAAUCUAUUUGGGAAUACGAUAUGUUGAUUUCCUUUGCAUAGAUAGAAUAGAGCAAUAACAUUAAUUAAUUAUGAUUUUCUUAACCAACUACAUGACCUACAGUUAGAUUUGGAUCUUCUAGAUUUUAUUUUCCUUUGAAAAUACUUUAUACAGCUUAUUUACACUAUGACAUUUUCUAAUAUAUAAUUUUUCUUCAAUAAAAUAUUGUAAAUAGUUAUUAUAUUA